RNAcentral lists this unclassified non-coding RNA (358 nucleotides) under soil metagenome. RNAcentral describes it as "partial contains 5.8S ribosomal RNA, internal transcribed spacer 2, and large subunit ribosomal RNA". The stretch from base 1 to 120 matches the Rfam family "5.8S ribosomal RNA", at positions 35 to 154 of the family's 154-position model. The record is from RNAcentral.
GAUGAAGAACGUAGCGAAAUGCGAUAAGUAAUGUGAAUUGCAGAAUUCAGUGAAUCAUCGAAUCUUUGAACGCACAUUGCGCCCGUCAGUAUUCUGGCGGGCAUGCCUGCUCGAGCGUCAUUACGCCCCUCAAGUCCCCUGUGGACUUGGUGUUGGGGAUCGGCGAGGCUGGUUUUCCAGCACAGCCGUCCCUUAAAUUAAUUGGCGGUCUCGCCGUGGCCCUCCUCUGCGCAGUAGUAAAACACUCGCAACAGGAGCCCGGCGCGGUCCACUGCCGUAAAACCCCCCAACUUUUUAUAGUUGACCUCGAAUCAGGUAGGACUACCCGCUGAACUUAAGCAUAUCAAUAAGCGGAGGA